Helianthus annuus (common sunflower) is the source of this 792-nucleotide long non-coding RNA. RefSeq lists it as uncharacterized. The transcript has 2 exons. The record is from RefSeq and is a predicted model, not a curated record. NCBI's taxonomy places the organism in Eukaryota, Viridiplantae, Streptophyta, Magnoliopsida, Asterales, Asteraceae.
GUGCAGUGAUUUAUGAGAAAUAAUAUUAUUUUUAUAUGAGUAAGAGUAAUAAAGAUCUGAAGUAACAGGUGGAUGCAAUCAAUUUGUUUGCUUCGCUUUCUCGGUGCAUUGAAGGCGGAGAAAACAAAACAUGGCUCUUCUCUUUCUUUAUCUCCUGUCUCUGUGUCUCUCUCUGUGUUUCUCUGGGAUGAACGAGGAAGACGAAGACGACAGCGGCGAAGACAUCGCUCCCGCCAUCGCACCUCGCGUCCGAAUCCAUCAUUGGGAAACCCUAGGGUUCCGACGGUUGUUGUGACCAAGAACCCGGCACCGGCAAAAAUAGAAACAGAACCCCUAGGGUUUCGACGAAGACGAACUCCGGCAGUCGGACUCUGGCCGUCACGGUUAUUUGGAUUCGGUCUGAGAUAACCCCCAGCAGAUUAGCGUCGUCUAGGGCCAGUAAACGGCGGCGAUUCAGUUGUUAAUUUGACCGGUUCCGACGAGUAGGUGAGUGUUUGAUAUCUUUGGAAAAGAGUUGUUUUUUGGUAGUAGAGUUAAGAGUGUGUGGUGAGAGAGAGAGAGAGAGAAGCAUGGAUUAUUGGCAAUGGACACUGCCAUUUGCGGUCGAUUCGCUCCUUCCCCUCCUCUUCAUUCCAAUUCAGUUCUUUCAUACGUUUUGAUUCGAUGGUAUUUAAUUCGAGUUAGUUUCUUUUUAAACCAGCCGCAAUGAGGAAGGGAUUGGUACGUUUUCUUUAUCUUUUACUUGGUUCAACUUUCGAUAUAAAUUUUGCUCAAGAACCAUAUUUCUACGUU